This 200-nucleotide ribosomal RNA is filed under the name uncultured bacterium. Its description in RNAcentral is "partial 16S ribosomal RNA". It matches the Rfam family "Bacterial small subunit ribosomal RNA", at positions 8 to 211 of the family's 1533-position model. The record is from RNAcentral.
AGAGUUUGAUCCUGGCUCAGAACGAACGCUGGCGGCGUGCCUAACACAUGCAAGUCGAACGCGAAAGGCAGUAAUGCCGAGUAGAGUGGCGCACGGGUGAGUAACACGUAACUGACAUGUCGGAGAGACAAGGAUAACCAUUCGAAAGGGUGGCUAAUACUUGGUAAGCCCACGUCCUUGGGGAUGAGGGAAAAGGGUCG